This is a non-coding RNA of Streptomyces cellostaticus, 173 nucleotides long. The record is from Rfam. NCBI's taxonomy places the organism in Bacteria, Bacillati, Actinomycetota, Actinomycetes, Kitasatosporales, Streptomycetaceae.
GCGCGGCCUCCGCCGAGUCCGGUGCGCCCCCGCGCGGCCGCCGGAGCCGGGGACCCACCGAUCCUGGGGUGAAUCGGCCGACUCCCGCCCGGGACGACGCCGUAGGGCAACCCUUCCGAACCAUCCGCCCGAACCCGACAGCUAACCCGGUAGGCGGCACAUUGGAAGGAGUC